This is an RNA transcript of Vigna angularis (adzuki bean), 3706 nucleotides long. It is a transcript of the gene named DExH-box ATP-dependent RNA helicase DExH14, with no coding region annotated. The transcript has 4 exons. The record is from RefSeq and is a predicted model, not a curated record. NCBI's taxonomy places the organism in Eukaryota, Viridiplantae, Streptophyta, Magnoliopsida, Fabales, Fabaceae.
GUAUUUGUAUUUUUAUAUUCUUUUUACCUUUUGUCACUCUAGGUGAUUAACAUGAUUGCACAUUCUUCUGAAUUUGAGAAUAUUGCUAUUCGAGAAGAAGAAGAAAAUGAGCUAGAGAUGUUGGCGCGCACAUCAUGUCCAUUAGAAAUUAAGUUGUACAUAUCUCGAGGUUCUAUGGAUUCUUUUUCUUUGGUAUCUGAUGCUGCAUAUAUUAGUGCAAGCUUGGCUCGAAUAACACGGGCAUUAUUUGGGAUUUGUUUACGAAGAGGCUGGUGUGAGAUGACUCUGUUAAUGUUGGAAUAUAGCAAAGCUGUGGAUCGUCAAGUUUGGCCACAUCAACAUUCUCUUAGACAAUUUGACAAUCACCUUUCUGCAGAAAUAUUCAGAAAGCUUGAAGAGUGUGGGGCUGACCUAGAUCGCCUGUUUGAGACCGAGGAAAAAGGCAUUGGAGGCAUUAAUUCUGUAUGCACCAAAGGAAGGGGAUGUAGCUUUUAGUAGAGUAAUGUUGAAUGGUUUCCUUCAUAAGUUGCUUCAGAUGUUCAAGAAAUGUUGAUUAUUAUAUUGUUAUUCGUUCCCGCUUUUUAGUUGGUCAAGCAAAAUCUAAGGUAUUUUCCAUUACUUCAGUUAUCAGCAACUGUGAGUGUGUGAGUCCCAUUACCAGAACUGUACUAAAGGUAUUUUACAGUUAUGAAUACCUAUGUAGACGGAUUAGUUUCACAUUUUUUUCAUUGAUUUCAUCACAAAAUAGUCUUGACCUCCAGUUCUACAAAAUCACUUGUUAUUUUGAGGUUGAUUUGGUCACUACGCCUGUUUUCACUUGGAAAGAUUGUUUUCAUGGUACUGCUCAACGUUGGUAGAUUUUGGUAGAGGUGAAAUAAAUUUUCCUUUGAUGAUGCAUCACUCUGUAAAUUCUUGUUUUUUUGUUAAAAAAACUGAACACUUGUUAUAGAGGAGAAGUUUAUUUGACUGUAGAGAGCAUUUGAAAAAGAAAGAGGAUGAGUAAUGAACUCUUGUUGGUUUCUCCUGAUUGAGCUUGUGCUCUAGGAUUUUUUCUUAUCAUUCUUUAAUGUUUUUUAUAUCCUUGUAGUUGUUGGUGGAGAGGAUGAGGUCAUUUGGUCCUUACAAUUUGUAUGACUGUUUUUAAGGAAACAAGAUUAUGGAGAAAAUAAGCAUCCAACUUAUGUCCUGCAGUAUAAUAAUUGAUAUUAUAUGACAUAAGAGAUAGAUGAAGAUAAAUAAGAAGUAUUAACUAGGUGUAUACACUGUGCUGGAUAUCAUGAAUUCAAUGACUAUGUAGUGAUAAUGUACGAAGUUUUACAUUGUCAUUCAACCACGAAGUUGGCUUUCAAAUUUGAUGUGAGGAAUUAGAGCAGGUAGAAGCACCUCAUCCAUUUGAUUCUGUCAUGGAGAAUAAAAUCACAAAGCCUUCCACCCAUUCACUUUUAUGUGUAAAAGCAGAGUUUCUAUGGUAACAAGGAGACCAGAGACACCAAAUUUGUAUCCAUUAAAGCUUCCCUACAUAUCUACAAUAAAGCAGCAAAAGAAGUUUCGGAAUAAAGCAUAACUCAGCAGAAAAAAAGGCAUCAUAUUGAUGCCAUAGCUAUCUCCUUUUACUGUCAUAUUAACCUUGCAUAAUUGCUAAAGGACUAUUGACUGGUCUUAAUUCCUGUACUUCUAUACUUAGAGAAAUAUGUGAGAACUGAACAAUAAUUUACUCCUUUCAAAAACUUAUUCUAUUUCUUGAAUAACAUUAUGUGUACAUAAUCUUCACAUGGAGUGUUAUCAAAAGACUAAUUUCUAUUCAAGAACCUUAGCUUUAUUAGCAUCACUUUUAGUAGGAUUUUCCUUUCUAAUUAUUAUUUCUUUUCAUCCACUGAAGUUGAUUAUGAAUCCUAAUGUGUAAAUGGUUUAAUUCUAUUUAUAUGUUGCUUUCAUAAAAUAGUUAAGAUUCCUCAACUAUCUACUAUUACAUAAGAUAGUCUCAUCAUGCAUGAACUGAUGUGAUACUUAGCAUAUUUCCUUACCCAAUUUAUUAUUAAUCAUACUUGGAUCUUCCUGAGAUCGUUUUUUAAUACACUUAAUAUAAUUUCUAAUUAGUGUACAAAUUUGUGUGCAAAUGUAGGAUCUCCCACUCUUGGCUAACUUGGUAGAGUAACUAAAACUACUUCAUAUCAAAAAGGAAUACAACUUUUCUUUUGUUUAAGUUCAUAGGCACAUGACAUCAAUGACCUAUGUUCUUGUCAUGGACAUGUGCUUGUCCUUUUAGCCUGAUACAUGUCUGUUUUUCUGAAAUGUUAUUAAAGUCAAGUAAGACAGAACACAAUCAGUGGUAGAAGCGAAAGGAUAGCCUUCUAAGUUGGUACAUCUGAAGAUUGCAGAAAUAGAUGACAAGCUCAAUGAAUUAGUAUAUAAUACUUUACUUGUAAACAUGAUUUUGGGUUUGAAAAUUGUUGGUUCUCAGGAUCUUAGGAACUCGUAUAAGUAGUUUCAAUUCCGUUUUUCUUUUAGUGCUGUAGUGCUGAUGUUUCUAGCUUAGUUUAAUAUUUUAAUUCUGCAUAGUUAAAGAUAAUAGUUAGAUUUUAAAUGUUGACAAAUUUGACAUAUGCUACUUGUUUGGUCUAUAACUUUCUCUAUAGUUAUUCAUUUGAGUUGAUUAUUUUAGCAUUGCACUCCUGAUUUAAUUAUCUUUAAUUUGAGUGCAAGAACUUAAAUUUUGGACUUAUGAUGCGGUUGCAGUUUGAUUUCGUAAAUUCCAGAAAGUUUGUAGAAUUCAAUUUUGACAACUAGUUUUCUUGUCCGGUUUUUGUUAGAUAAAACUAGUGCACAUGCUAGAUUUCGGUUCCUUUAUAGUUUCUAGUAGUUAAUGUUUAUGUUUUAUUGUUUGGAGAAUAUAUUGUAUGUAGUUUAUGUUUUCUUUGUUCCUUGGCUGUGCAAUAUUGUAUUUAUGUUAUGAUACAAGAAAAGAUAUAGAAUUUUUAGUCAUCUUCGACUUUAAGUUUACCUCUGUUGUUAGUUACGUAAUAAACAUGAGGCGAAAUCCUCUUCCAUGGACAUUACCCUGUUUGUUUUUUCUAAUGAAUCUUCCUAUUAUGAGUAUUGCAGGUUCAAUGUCUUGGGUAUGCAUGAGUUUGAUAGUGACAGGAAGAGGAUGUCAGUUAUAUUGGAGUACCUUGACAAUUAUGUGAAAGUGUUUGUCAAAGGAGCACACACAUCCAUGCUUAAUGUGAUAGACAAGUCAUUUAGCGUAGAGUUAGUAAGAGCCACGGAAGCUCAUCUUCACUCUUACUCUUCCAUUGGUUUGAGGACAAUUUAGAGAUUUAAAUGCUUUAGAAUUUGAGGAAUGGCAUGCAUCCUUCGAGGCUCCAAGCACUGUUGUUUUUGGCAGGGCUGCUAUGCUCCGCAAGGUUUCUAGCAUUGUAGAGAACAGUCUCAGCAUAUUAGGAUUUGCCAUUGAAGAUAAACUGCAGCAAGAUAUACACAGAUAUUUAGCGACUCAUGGAGACAUAUACGUGGGUGCCUUGUUUUAUGGGUUGUCGUGACUAUGUUCAGUGGAUUGGCUGAACUUUUCAUGGUUGUUUCAAGGAUUCCUAUUUUCUACAAACAAAGAUAUUAUUUUUUUUUUCUUCAUGGAUAUAUUACAUAUAUGGUUUUAUCCGUUUAUGUUACAAUUAAUUUAUUUAUGAAUUUUCGUAUGUAAGUAGAACUU